UUUCCGUAGGUGAACCUGCGGAAGGACCAUUAUUGAAAUAAAAACUUGGUUGGGGGUUGCUGCUGGCUCUCAGGAGCAUGUGCACACUCGCUCCAUUUUUUAAUACCACCUGUGCACACACUGUAGGCCUGAAUGAACUUUUUCGAGGUUUAAAAACUUUGGUUUGAGAACUGCCUUUGGGCUGUUCUUGUGUUCCCAGGUCUAUGUUUUAAUCAGUAUACUCCACAACAAGUAAUAGAAUGUCAAAUUAUGGGCCUUUUGUGCCUUUAAACCUAAUACAACUUUCAACAACGGAUCUCUUGGCUCUC
RNAcentral lists this unclassified non-coding RNA (308 nucleotides) under plant metagenome. RNAcentral describes it as "partial contains small subunit ribosomal RNA, internal transcribed spacer 1, and 5.8S ribosomal RNA". The record is from RNAcentral.